GUCUGCGUAGCCCAAUCUUGGUAGAGGCAGCGCGUCGAGAGCGCGCCCAGUCUCGGUUCGACUCCGAGCGCAGACAC
This 77-nucleotide transfer RNA is filed under the name Firmicutes bacterium ADurb.Bin506. RNAcentral's name for it is "tRNA-Leu". The record is from RNAcentral. Lineage: Bacteria; Bacillati; Bacillota.